Molecule: ribosomal RNA, 253 nt
Filed under: uncultured bacterium
Lineage: Bacteria
Description: partial 16S ribosomal RNA
Rfam family: Bacterial small subunit ribosomal RNA
Source: RNAcentral
CACGUAGGGCGCAAGCGUUGUCCGGAAUUAUUGGGCGUAAAGAGCUUGUAGGCGGUUUGUCGCGUCUGCUGUGAAAUUUCGGGGCUCAACCCCGAACUUGCAGUGGGUACGGGCAGACUAGAGUGUGGUAGGGGAGACUGGAAUUCCUGGUGUAGCGGUGAAAUGCGCAGAUAUCAGGAGGAACACCAACGGCGAAAGCACUCUGCUGGGCCGACACUGACACUGAGAGACGAAAGCUAGGGGAGCAAAUGGG